CCUACGGGAGGCAGCAGUGGGGAAUAUUGCACAAUGGGCGAAAGCCUGAUCCAGCCAUACCGCGUGUGUGAAGAAGGCCCUAGGGUUGUAAAGCACUUUAAGUUGGGAAGAAAAGUUAUUGGUUAAUACCCAAUGACCGUGACAUUACCAUCAGAAUAAGGACCGGCUAAUUCCGUGCCAGCAGCCGCGGUAAU
This 194-nucleotide ribosomal RNA is filed under the name uncultured marine bacterium. RNAcentral's name for it is "partial 16S ribosomal RNA". It matches the Rfam family "Bacterial small subunit ribosomal RNA", at positions 338 to 524 of the family's 1533-position model. The record is from RNAcentral.